This 465-nucleotide ribosomal RNA is filed under the name uncultured bacterium. RNAcentral describes it as "partial 16S ribosomal RNA". It matches the Rfam family "Bacterial small subunit ribosomal RNA", at positions 28 to 507 of the family's 1533-position model. The record is from RNAcentral.
GACGAACGCUGGCGGCGUGCUUAACACAUGCAAGUCGAACGGAAAGGCCCUGCUUGCAGGGUACUCGAGUGGCGAACGGGUGAGUAACACGUGGGUGAUCUGCCCUGCACUUCGGGAUAAGCCUGGGAAACUGGGUCUAAUACCGGAUAGGAGCCAUUUUUAGGGUGAUGGUUGGAAAGUUUUUUCGGUGUAGGAUGAGCUCGCGGCCUAUCAGCUUGUUGGUGGGGUAAUGGCCUACCAAGGCGGCGACGGGUGGCCGGCCGGAGAGGGUGGACGGCCACAUUGGGCCUGAGAUACGGCCCAGACCCCUACGGGAGGCAGCAGUGGGGAAUAUUGCACAAUGGGCGCAAGCCUGAUGCAGCGACGCCGCGUGGGGGAUGACGGCCUUCGGGUUGUAAACUCCUUUCGCUAGGGACGAAGCUUUUUGUGACGGUACCUAGAUAAGAAGCACCGGCUAACUACGUG